This is an RNA transcript of Phoenix dactylifera (date palm), 4053 nucleotides long. RefSeq lists it as uncharacterized. The record is from RefSeq and is a predicted model, not a curated record. NCBI's taxonomy places the organism in Eukaryota, Viridiplantae, Streptophyta, Magnoliopsida, Arecales, Arecaceae.
CCGUUCGACCCUGGCCGCAUCUUGAACGCCCGAUAUAUACAUGUUUCGUACUUCCCACGUCACUUCGGGCCCCACUGGUUUCCCCAAACCGAAUCAGCGAAUAUGGCAGAGUGCGCCAUGGCCGGAGGGGGGUUCUUGGAGGCGGCGCGGCCGACACGCUGCGGCCGCGGCCUCCCGCUAGCGGCUGAAUCAGCGGCUUGUCGGCCCGUUGGGGAAGCAGCGGCAGCAGGUGGUGAAGCGGCGGGAGCGGUGGCUGGUGGCGUUGGGGAUCGCCCUCGACGCCGUCUACAUGCUCAGCAUCUUCGACAUCUACUUCAAGAACCGCGUCGUCCACGGCAUGGAGCCCGUCCCCCAGCCCAUCUCUCCCCCCGCCAAGCGCCUCGUCCUCUUCGUCGCCGGCGGCAUGCGAACGGACAAAUUCUUCGAGCAAGAAUCCGAGGGGCAGCUCAGAGCGCCGUUCUUGAGGAGCGUGACGCAGUCGAGUCCCGGUCAUAUUUCCAUCACGGCGGGUGUCUAUGAGGAUCCUAGUGCAGUAACAAAAGUGUGGCCUUCUUUGGAUAGCCCGUGAUGAUUUACUUUCCGUUUCUUGAAAUAUUUUUGAGUUCGCAAUGCUGGAAGUUGGAUGGAAAUUGGUGAUAGCAUCAACCAUUUUGAGAAUAUGAGUGCCCAAGUAGUUUUUGUAUUGAUGCUUUUUGCCCUCCCGAAUAGAUAUGCAAGAGAUAUUGAAAAUCCAUCUCUGUAGUUGUCCUUAUAAAAAGCAGUGCAAUGUAUUUCUGAUUUCUAAUAUUGGGAAUAGUGGCAAAAGGGUUCUGAUUUCUUUUUGUUAAAGGUAUUUAAACAUAUCACCAGUCGAGGUUUUAUACAUGUCCUUUGGUAUACAUGGUCUAACUACUAUUUUCAUCUUGAUUUUAGUUUGGCUGUUUCUUUAUUCUAAGUGUAAAUCAGUUCUUAGAUUGCGAAACUUUUUUUGUUUCAUACUUACUUUAUAGUGUUACAAUUUUUUGUUUUAAGUUGUUUGUAAUGGAGCUUAUAUUUCUGAUCAGACCAUGAUGUUGUCUUGAUGGUGUUUAAAUGUUAGUAAUUGUAUUAUAUACUUAAUGAAAUAAUGAUGAGUUGUUGAAGCAACUUAAGUGCAAGGCUACAUUGUACUUGUUUAACUGAAUGCCAUGGCUAUAUAUGAAUAUGUUGAUGACUGCAAACUCUGUUGUUGAUGACUGCAAACUCUGAACAGAAAGAAACACAUGAGUCACAAUGUUCCAUUGUUCACCAUGCUAUAUAGUCAUACAUUUGAUGCAGACUCCCCUGGACGAGCCUAAGCAGAUUGGUAAGUCUCACCAAUAUAUGCACCCCCUUUUUAUUGUAAACUUGGACUUCGUAUUAUUGUAAAAACAAAUAUGAAAGAACACUUUUCGAUUAAAAAAAUCCAUGCUUAUCACUUCAUCAAACAUUCUGUUUGACAAAUUUUCCUGAUCGAAUCAAGAUUUAUGGGUUUGCCAUUCAUUCAUUUGAAAACAUGGCAUGGAGCACAUCUCUGUCAAAACUGUAAAUUUAAAACAUAUCUACAGACCAAUAUAAAAUAGGCAAAAUGGUCUAUGUUAAAACAACUAAAAAUGUUUAAUGUAAUAUGUUCUAGCUUAUAUUUAGUUGCUUAUUAACAAAAUUAUGCGUAUUUGUUUUGCAAUGUAUGCCAAAGUGUCAGCACCUCAGUAGCAAAAAAAAAGCUUCUAUUUAGGGUAACACACCUGCUUCAAAAACUUCUAGGAAACUCAAAAUCACACUUGCUUCCUGAGUGCUUCCUUAAAGUGCUUUCAAAAUAUUUGCUUCCUUGCACCCACACCCAUAUAGAUUCCUGCUCUUUCUCCUGAUUUUAGCAACUAAGCUUGGCGUGAUUUAGCAAAGUGCUUUUAACAUUGGCGACCUCUUUCUGUUAUACAACAUGUAAUUCCUUGAUCCUUGAAAUAAAUUCUACAACUUAUCCUUGUCUAGCUUCUCUACUUCACUAGCAUUCUUAUAAUCUGAUUAAUGCAGCACCUUUCUUUUAUGUUCUUUGUGUGGCACCCUGACUUUGCUAAGAACAAUACAACAACUUUAGUAUGCUAGCUCGACAAAAUCUCAACUCAAGCCUUGCGUAAUUGUUUCUAUAUUAUUACUUUUUUGGGUUAUGGUUUCUGUUCACUCUAUACAUUCAUUGAUCAUCCUCUACACUUUUAGCUGUUUUCUGUGUGGAUGAUAUAUCAUCACUGCUAAUUAUAACCAAAAGUGAUUGGGCUGCCCACUAUUGCAUCUCUCAAGGCAAUGAUUCAUUGACUCUUUGAGAUGGGAGACCUAGGGUAUCUUUGUAAUAACCGAGGACCUGACCGGAAAAAGCUAGCCAUAAGGUAUUGUAUGGGGUCUUCGGCCGUGCUUAAGUAUCCAAGACCUCUCCAAAACACAACUGAUGUGGGACUAAAAAUAUGACCAUGCUGGUCCUUAGGAUCUGUGUUGAUUAACUUCAACUUGAGGCAAUUCACCAAGUUGAUUAACUCUUAUUCAGCCUGAAUGUGCACUUCAAAAUCUCAUAAUAAUAUCAAUUUAUAAAUUUUUGAUAAUCUUUCCUUUGUUAGUACUUUUUGUCUUUUGAUUGCAAACCAUUUUUAUAUCCAUUCAUGUUACUGUAGCAUGGUUGGAGCUCUGCACUAUCAUUCUCAUGACUAAAUCACAUAAACAAUUAAUGAGGUCUGCCAACAUAUUUAUUCUUUUUAAUGUCUUCUUUUCUUGACUAGGGCAAGAAUUUUGUGCUAUUAUUUAUAUUAAUCUUGGAUGCGAUUUUUUAUAUCAAACCACCUCCAUUGUUGUCUAAGUAUAUUUAGAUGCGCGUUAGCUUGGAUAUCAGGAUAAUUGUUCUCCAUAACUAUUUUUUGCAUUUUUUUUCUUUUUUUCACCGGCCUAUUUCAGAAACCUAAAGUAAUCAUUUAUUACUUUAUCAUUUUUAAGAGUGACAUGCACUUGAUGCUACUAUAGCUUGAUUCAUCAUAUUGUACAAGAUAUUACCCUCCCUCUUUGAGUAUGUUUAUUCUGAUUAUUAGGUUGCAUAAAAGAUGUAUAUAGCUUUGCUUCAUGUGUAACUUCUUAGCAUGCUGAACUUUAUGGCUCCAUGAGUAGUAACAGUUUGAAGCAUGGUCUUCCAUGGCGCUCGGUAUAAGGUGUACCGUACCGAUAGAAAACUGCUACGAAACACACCUUCAAGUCGAUAUAAGCCCCAUACCGAGGUGCAUACCGGUCCGUACCGAGGCGUACUGAGAUGAAAAUUGACAAAAAUGGUUGGAAAGCUAUUUCGAUACAGGGGUAUAUCAUACCGUACUGAACCGAGCCGAACCGAUAAAGUUCUGAUAUUGUACCCUAUACCGAGAUUGCGGACCUUGGUUUGAAGUAGUGGUUCUAGUUGGGGAUUGGUACAUAGGAUAUUGAUACAUACUAUGCUGCAUCGAGACAUGGUCUGGUAGUUGGUGCUGGCACUAGAAAAGUGAUACCAACUACUGUAUGCUGGUACAGCAAAAUACCAAGGGAUGUAUCAAGCACCAGUUCCUAGUGGUACAAUAUGAUAUAUGCCUGGUGCAGACAGGUAUGAACUAGUAAUUCAACCCUUGCCCCCAAUGUACCUCUAAUAUUACUUCUCAUGGUUGUCUCCUAGCCUUUUGAAGGCUAGCAUUAUGCAGUUCUAUCAUCUUUCAUCGAGGCUUCUACAAGCUUGUUUCCCACUAAAAAUGUUUAUGAGUGUGGAAAGUAAGAUAAGAAAUAAAAGAAUCAAAAGCAUCAAAAGACCUUUGUUGAAUUAAGUCUUGCUUCCUUUCACUUGUUCAAUUUCAUUUUCCAGUUCAUCUAGCAUUAAAUAUAUUAUGUCCGGUAAAGACCUGACCAUAUUUAUUACCAAAGUUGUGAAAUUGAAUUGACAAACAUAUCCCUGUUGUACAUAUUGAGCACUGGAAAGAACAAUUUCAGGUGUAUAAGCUGCUCUAUUUUAUCUAAAUGCUCUAACAAAAUUGUUUUGGUAAUACGCUAAGUUAUUACUGAAUU